CCGCCGCUCGCCCCCUCGCUGGCCAGCCGCGGGGCUGGCACGACUCGCUUGGGGCUCCGCGGCCACAGCGCAGGCGGAAGGUGGAUCCUACUGGCCUUGCUGACCUCCGGCCGGGAACGGCGGACAGGCGCCGGGAAGGGAGGCCACCGCGCGUCUGCGAGAUUUUCUGUUCUCUUCUCUCCCGCAAACCCCUCUGCUUCUAAACCACCAGUCCUCCUGCCCCUGGCCUCGGGAGCAAUGCCCACACUCCCAAGCCAUCGUUAACCCCGGGCGCGGAGAUGCGGAGAGACCGCACUCAGGUUCGGGCCCUCCUGACACCUUAAGGAACCGUCUGGCCGGACUAGCAGAGGGUGCUCCCAGGGGAGCACUACAUCAGCCAUCGGGAGAAGUGUGUGAUGUUGAAGAAGACAAGUCACCCGCGUCAGUUCUCCAUCACUGCGCCUUCGGUCGCCUGCAACCGGGCACCUUAUAGCAAGCAUUUUUACUCAUGUAAAAUAGCGUCUUGUGGCCGUCAGCUGCCACUACGGAAUUUCUGCUGUUCCCUUUCCCAAACCAAUUUAACUAACUUCCCCGACUGUGGGUUUAUUCAAAUCCACUGCCAAGUUUCGCAGAUUAAAUAUUCGACCGUCGUUUUUUUCAGCCCCCAAAUGAUCUGAUUUAUCUUAUCCUUGCUUCUGACGAUCUGUAAUGUAAAUUAAAGACCCCUACUUCCCAGAUGUACUUGAGUGAGGUGCCCUGGUAAGCUGGCUUUUUUGCAGCCCCGGCUUGGUGAUUAAGUCGAAUCUCUCUACCAAUCCUCCGGGGCCAGAGGUAAAAUUUAAUCACCCCGAAGUGUGAGAGGUUCUACUUUUUCUGAGCAGUUAGUGCGUCAGUCUUUGUGGUUUUUUGGGUUUAGGGUUAGGAGAAAGGGGUAAGUGAAAGAAAAGAAUAAGGAAAGAAGUAAGUUUGUUUUUCUUGGGAGCAGGUUCUUUUAGUCACUCUUCAACAUGUGGGAUGUUUCGUAAAGUUUUGUUGGCAUGGGCGGUUUCAACUGUAUUUUAGGAUUUGAAAUAGAAAAAGUGAAGACCACUAAGGAUCCCAUUUUUCAUAUACAAGUGACUUGAGGAAAUUCCUUUGGCUCCUAUCAGCUUAGUUCAUGGUAGAGCCCUUCUGUAGCCGUGAAAGCUAGCAGAGAGUCUAGCUUUUAAAUUUUCUUGCAUUUGCUCCAGGUAAUUGAAGACUUGUUAUGGGACAGGUACUCUUCCAGACACUUGACACAUAUGAGGAAUGGCAGGCAAUGAAGAAGUUGAAUGACUUGCACUAGGUCUUCUAUCGAUAGCGGCUCCAGGCUCCCGGGGUUAGCAUUGUUGUUCCAGAGCCUACACUCUAAACCACUGUUAAACCAGGACAGGUUGUAACAGUUUUUAAUCUUUAAUCUUUAGAACAAGUGUAUUUUCAAGGACCUUGAACUAGUCUCGAUUGACAAACUCUAAAGCUUUUGAAGUGCAACCAGCUGGGUUGAUCGGUCUUUUCACAGAUAUCUGAGGUACAGCUCAUUAACAUAAUGGAUGUAGUCCCGAGGGGGCAGUUGGGGGAAGACAGGAGAUGGGAGAGAAGUCAAUUCUACAGUAUUUUUUGCAUUAAAUAGGUGCCUAGCGCUGUGAAGGAUUCUGUUCUCUGACUUUGGGAGGGCCAGUGCAGAAGAAUCAAGACAGAAUAUGCUCCCGUGUGGGCCAGGCUGUGAAUUCUUUGAAAGAAGCUGCAGAGAAGCAACAAAGAUUAUCCUAAGACUUCUGGAGGAAGAAUUAGGAUCCUUCUGCAGGAACUCAGUUUACUGUGAAUUGAAGUCGUGGUCGUGGUUUGCAGUUUGUUGUUGGUGGUGGCAGUGGUGGUGGUUGGUUGUGGUGAGUGUGUCUGUGUGUAUGUGUUUGCCAGUUACUGGUUUCUCCUAAUUGUAAGAGGUUUAGAGGGUUCUUUACUUCACUAAUGUAGUCUUCUUUGUUCUGGUAGUUAGAUCAGCCCCCACGGUAUUUGUGGAAGACUUUUCAUUAUAAGGGCUUUUGAAUGUGGUUUGUGUCUAGGCUUUAGUAAAACUAAGAAUUCUAGAACAGCUAUUUAAUGAAACCUUGUUUCUCAAGUCUUGAUUUAGCUACAGGCAGAAAAAAGAAAAAAAAAAAAACAA
RNAcentral lists this long non-coding RNA (2161 nucleotides) under Homo sapiens (human). Its description in RNAcentral is "HSALNT0328924". Lineage: Eukaryota; Metazoa; Chordata; Mammalia; Primates; Hominidae. The record is from RNAcentral.